UCCAAGGUAGCAGCUGAGAUCGUAUUGAGAUGAUGAAUCUUAAAUUGUUAUGGAUAUUGCUCAUUACAUCACUGUUUUUCAUACAAGGGUGGCCUCAGACCCAGGGGUGCUAGGAGCAGGAGAGAGUUGCUCUCUUACAACUCCAUUCAGUUUUCGAUGUUAGUGAUUGGAUAACCGAGAAAGAUUCGAAUUGUUGUCAUUGGGAUUAUAUUGAAUGCCACAAUAUCAGUGGACGAGUGAAAGUACUCACUCUUCCUCCCAAAUGGCGCCAGGGAGAUUCAUCUUGGUAUCUCGAUGUCUCUUUAUUUUUCCCUUUUGAAGAAUUGAAGAGUCUUGAUUUAUCCCUUAAUGGAAUAAAGGAUUUUAUUGAUAACAAAGUACCUUUAUCAUCUGCCUUCAGCAAUUUGGAAAUCCUUAAAUUAUCUUUCAAUGAUUUCCAUGACGGUAUUUUAUCAAAAGUGAAGAGUCUACCAAACUUGAAGAUAUUGGAUUUAAGGAACAAUUCAAUCGAAAGUCUCCAGCAUUUACAAGAGAUGAAUUUGGAAGAGCUUGACUUGGGUGGGAAUAGAUUGAAGAACAAUGAUCUGACAUAUAUCAAGGGGCUAAGUAUAAAGUCCUUGAAUAUUGGAGGAAACCUACUGCAAGGAUCAAUAGAUAUUGG
Gossypium arboreum is the source of this 661-nucleotide long non-coding RNA. RefSeq lists it as uncharacterized. Lineage: Eukaryota; Viridiplantae; Streptophyta; Magnoliopsida; Malvales; Malvaceae. The transcript has 4 exons. The record is from RefSeq and is a predicted model, not a curated record.